RNAcentral lists this ribosomal RNA (253 nucleotides) under uncultured bacterium. RNAcentral's name for it is "partial 16S ribosomal RNA". It matches the Rfam family "Bacterial small subunit ribosomal RNA", at positions 524 to 776 of the family's 1533-position model. The record is from RNAcentral.
UACGGGGGGGGCAAGCGUUGUUCGGAAUUACUGGGCGUAAAGGGCUCGUAGGCGGCCAACUAAGUCAGACGUGAAAUCCCUCGGCUUAACCGGGGAACUGCGUCUGAUACUGGAUGGCUUGAGAUUGGGAGAGGGAUGCGGAAUUCCAGGUGUAGCGGUGAAAUGCGUAGAUAUCUGGAGGAACACCGGUGGCGAAGGCGGCGUUCUGGACUGCAACUGACACUGAAAAACGAAAGCCAGGGGAGCAAACGGG